GGCUUAUUGAUAAUAAUUUUAAGUCUAACCUGCCCCCUGAGGAGUUAAAUGGCCGCGGUAUUCUGACCGUGCAAAGGUAGCAUAAUCAUUAGUUUUUUAAUUGAAAGCUGGAAUGAAGGGUUUGAUGAAAAAAGCUCUGUCUCUAUGAAAAUUUAUUAGAAUUUUAUUUUUAAGUAAAAAAGCUUAAAUAUAUAUAGAAGACGAGAAGACCCUAUAGAGUUUUAUAUAAACUUAGGAAAUUAGGCUUUAGGAAUUUAUAGUUUGUUUUUUAAAUUUGUAUUUAGUUGGGGUGACAAAAAAAUUAAUAAAACUUUUUUUGUAUUUUAACAUUAAUUUAUGAAUACUUGAUCCUGAAAUUCAGAUUAAAAGAUUAAAUUACCUUAGGGAUAACAGCGUAAUUUUUUUGAGAGUUCUUAUCGAAAAAAAAGAUUGCGACCUCGAUGUUGGAUUAAAAUUAAUUAUUGGUGUAGGAGCUAAUAAAUUAGGUCUGUUCGACCUUUAAAAUUUUACAUGAUCUGAGUUUAAACCGGUGUGAG
This 536-nucleotide ribosomal RNA is filed under the name Trigonopterus sp. 1004 AR-2022a. Its description in RNAcentral is "partial large subunit ribosomal RNA". It matches the Rfam family "Archaeal large subunit ribosomal RNA", at positions 1908 to 2694 of the family's 2987-position model. The record is from RNAcentral. Lineage: Eukaryota; Metazoa; Arthropoda; Insecta; Coleoptera; Curculionidae.